This is a long non-coding RNA of Planococcus citri (citrus mealybug), 653 nucleotides long. RefSeq lists it as uncharacterized. The transcript is spliced from 3 exons. The record is from RefSeq and is a predicted model, not a curated record. NCBI's taxonomy places the organism in Eukaryota, Metazoa, Arthropoda, Insecta, Hemiptera, Pseudococcidae.
GCUGGUCCGCGUACCUAAGUAGGUAUUAAGGUAUUAUUUUUGAAAUUAAUUUGUGCUGUUUUUAUUCGAUUCGAUCCUAGUUUGUUUCGUGUCUAUUCGUGUUUCAUCUGUGUGACAUUUCCUCUGAUCCGAAGAUUAAAGAAGUAGAAAACUAAAGCCAGUGUUUGUUUUCAGGUACAAGAUACAGGAUACACGUAAAGGUUACCGACGAACAUGCUAUAAAAAAAAGUGCCGGCGAUGAUCAAGAAGGAAACGGAAAAUGAUAAACAAGAGAUGCUCGUCGAAGGUUUUCAUUAUGUAUUUGUUGAAGAGGAAGCAGUUUCCCCUGGCAGAUACAGACCGACGCGACGAACGUGUCAAAAAAAAAGGUAGCGGAAAUGAUUAUUACGAAGGAGACAGAAAAUUAAUACGCACGUAUGAAAGAUGCUCGUCGAAGGAUUUCAUCACUUAUUUGUCGAAGAUUGAAGCAGUUUGGUUUACCCUGGUGUUGAUAUCUCGUUACAUCGUAGACAGUGAUGGUGCUAAAUAUUGUAUUUGGAGUUCCAUACCUCAUACCUGUGAAGUUGUUAAAUGUUUUGUUGGAGAAGAUUUGGAGGAUUCGCUGCUUGGUAAGUUUUUUCAAUCGAGUCGCUGUUAUAAUUUACCUACUUGUA